GGGGGCAUAGCUCAGUUGGGAGAGCAGCAGACUGAAGCUUUUCGGCAUUUCUGAAGGUCCCGCGUUCAAUCCGCGGUGCCCCCA
This is a non-coding RNA of Termitomyces sp. T32_za158, 84 nucleotides long. NCBI's taxonomy places the organism in Eukaryota, Fungi, Basidiomycota, Agaricomycetes, Agaricales, Lyophyllaceae. The record is from the annotation of a GenBank genome assembly.